Chiroxiphia lanceolata (lance-tailed manakin) is the source of this 2783-nucleotide long non-coding RNA. RefSeq lists it as uncharacterized. The transcript is spliced from 3 exons. NCBI's taxonomy places the organism in Eukaryota, Metazoa, Chordata, Aves, Passeriformes, Pipridae. The record is from RefSeq and is a predicted model, not a curated record.
ACCACCUGUUUCCCUUUCUGGGUGUUUUUGGCCACAGGAAGUGGUUGUGCAAGGCUGAGCCAGCAGCUGGCCGGCUGCCAGCCUGUGGAGAAAGCUUCCUAGAGCUCCUCCAAGGCUUUCAAUUCCCCUUUCUUGCCACUGUUUCCUGCAGCACCACACAGGCUUUACCAGCAGCAACACCACAGUGCACUCGAAGAGUGGGGGGAAUUCUCUGGCUUCGCAGGUUCCAGUGGCCUGGGCAAGGGCAGACCCAUGGUGGGCAGGCUCUGGGACUCCUGCCCCGCAGCCAUAGGGCUGCAUUUUCCCGCUCUCCGACACGAUGGUCUGGGUGCCCCCAGCAGGCAAGGCUCUUGGGGCCUCUCUGAGGAGCUGUGGGGUUCAACAGAGAUAAGAUAGCACAAACUAGGGUUUUGGAUGCAAGUUCACUUGCAGAAGGGUGGUAAAAGGGCCUUCAAACUUGCAUAUAAGUAAAAUAAGGGGUAAUUCUCCCCUGGAAACACCAUAGCAGUCUCUAGAGGGAUUCCUGAGAAGCAAACUCCAGCCUCAGAGGUGGCUGGGCUUUGCAAAACCUUGGUCUCUCACUUCUGCAACCUGUGGCAGCUAAGCAGGAGCCUUGGUGAACAGAGCUUGUUACUUUUAGCACAGGAAAAUCCUAAGCUUAAAACAACCUAUGUAUAAAAAAUGUUGACAGCACCAAUUUUGGUGCUUAUGCCACCAUAAAGAAACUACUAAAAUAAAGAAAAGCAGGAAAAUGCUUAAUUGUGGAGCUUUAUUAUGUCCUGCUGUGCUGGUGAUGAAGACCUAUUAUGUCCUGCAGCCUCUGCAAUGAGUCUGACUGCUCUGAGAGAGCACAGACUUGUUCCAGGGUUGAACAUGGACAUAGUUGUUGAGUAUUAAUGUCUAAUUAUUAUACCUAAUUUUCAGAGUGAGCCUUUCUUUCAAUAUGAAAUGUCUAUUUUUACCCUUUUCUGAACUGUUGUUUCAGACAUUGUACAGGUUCAAGAUGACUAUACUGAAUGUUAGUAGGUACAUACUGAAGAGGAUGGGGCUGAAUUAACUUUUUGAAAUAGCUCUUCCACCACAAGGAUUAAUAUCUAGUGCCUUCCUUUUAACUGAUGGCUUUUAUUCUAUAGUAUAAAUUUCUGGUAGUGUCUCUGGAGUAUAUUUGUAAGUAUAUUUGCCAAAGUUAUAUAUUGAAUAAUUCCUCUAUUUCCAGAAUGCCUGAGAUGACCACAUACAGAAUGUAAUUAAAAAUGAACAUACUACAUUAUUCUGCUUUUCUAUCAGCUUUUUAACAUCUUACUAGGAAAUACCUUUUCCUGUCUUAUUACAUUUUCUAUACAAAUUAAUGUCAUUGACAUGAAGAAAACAAGCAUAUUUAAUGAAGGGGAUUGGCUAAAACUAUUAAUUUGUGUUAGAAUAUUAUGAAGCAUUAUUUCCACACCACCAGCUGGUACAGAACCCAACCAAUCAAAUAUCAUGGGGAAGCCUGUGGUUUUCAAGUAUUUGGGGUGUAUGGAAAGGAAAAGAUUAUAGAAGAGACUUUUUUUCAUGGGGUAUUGACUGGUUGACAAGUCAGACUAUAUAUAUUUUUCUGUCCUCUGAUGGCUGGUCAGAAUUAAGCAAAAGAUGUCUUGGAAAAGAAAGGAGAUGUUUUAGACUCCCAAACUUGAUUAGUUUUCAUCUGGUGAUUAUCAUAUACUCAGCUCUUUGAUUUAAGCCUUUGAUGGAGUUUCCACUCCAGAGAAGUGGAGCAUGACUGAAGCAGAGAUUGACACUAUGGCAGGUUUUGAGGGCUUUCAGCAAUACCCUCGACAAACACAGCACAAGUGCCAAAGUACAUGUGUUUCUUGAGAUAACACUUCACCAAUGUUAUGUUAAUUCCUCAACUAGUAUAAUUACUAAGACAGUAAAAAGCACUUGGAAAGAAUAUCUUUUCCAGGAAGUUUUCUGCUGCUGGUUUUGGUUGAAUCUACCUUACCAUACAGGUGUGUUCUUAUCACACACUCUGUGCAAGGAGAACACUCCCUAAUAGUAAAAAACUAGCAGGACACAGCUGCCCACCAGACAGUCUCUCCAAAGUGAAUGGCACUGUCCAAGAGAGAGAAAUUUAUUUGUGGACCUAGGAAAAAUCCCUGUUAAGGAAGGUAUGUUUGAAAUUAUGUCUUUCUUGGAAGAGGUCUCAAACAGUAUGGGCCUGAGAAUCCCCAAUCUUUCCUUCUUCCUUUACUUGGAGCUUUCUGCUAUCUUGGUAGGAGGUCUCCUUUUUAUUUGUAUUAGUUCCUAGGAACUGAAUGUAACUUUUGUCUGUUGAUGGGUUUUGCAGCAUUUGCAAGAUGACCCUUUCCCACUGCCCUGAAUGCUUUCCCAUUCUGCAUGGAUGAUGCACAUGUUCUUGGUCUGUUUAGAUUAUUUUUCACCAGAAAUAAGUUCUAUUUCAUGAAAGUGGAGAAUUGUGGAGAAAACUUAUUGACUGCUAAUGAAGCUUGGGCAGAUGCUUAGCAGAACAGUAAAAUAAGUGCUUUGGAGUGUUUCACUUUCUCUCUAUACCCCCCUCUUUUUUAUCUUUGCUAAAAUUCAGGCUGUCAGUGUUGGUACCUUGUUUUGUUGUUGGCCCUUCUGAGUGUGCUUGGUAAACUGCUGAGCUGAGUGCAUUUGGGAGGGUGGGCCCUGUGCUGGUGUCAUUGCAGCCUGUGAUAGAAUGAAAAUAGCUUUUGCGCCAGUAUUUUGGUGUUUCUAGGGAGGUCCUUGUAGAAUCAGGAGUGGGCAGAUGCUGUAGUGGG